CUGCAUUUAAACUUGAGUGUUGCCCUGUUUAAGGCUGGUCCUAAGCUGAAAUAUACAGAAUUUAAGUUUUAGUGUCCUUUGGCCUCAGACUGACUCCUGAGUCCCCUCUAGCUUCCCUGUACUCUCAGACUCAUGAUGAGUUUCCAUUAUUACUUUUCUCUUCCCUUACGCGGCACUCUGUUAAAGCAGUGCUAGUCAGGCUGCUGAUACUCUGAGGACUUCGAAUUUUUGAUACUCCAGUUUGAGACAGAGAGACCCCAAGAUUGUCCCCAGUGAUCUCUGUUUCCUGAUAUUCAUGCCUGUGUAUCCCUUUCAUCUUGAGUGUGCAUGGGCCCUGUGACAGAAGUGAUGGGACUGGUCCUUCCACAAUGACAUUACAUGGCAUUGCAACUUCUGUAUUGCUAGCAGACUCUAGAGUGCCUUCUGAGCUCCCGUGCAUGAAGCAAGACGCCAUGUUGGGGGGGUACUCAGUGAAAAUGGACUCGAGACCACUACUGGCUGUCAGCAGGACUGCAGUAUAGGUCUUUAGAGACCAUUCUUGGAAAUAAAUGGAACUGACAAACACCAAGCUGUGGUAUAAUUGCCCGUCCCCUCCUACCAAGGUGCUGUUACUGAGUCAGCUUGUGCCUGAUUCCUUGUGCCACAUUCCUUGUGCCUGAAAACUUUAAGGUAAGUUUUCAUUCAGAAAAUACCUCGGUGAUUCAUACAGAGAGAGUGCUGUUGGGAGUGCAUACGCAAUUCCCCAAAUAAUCUUGGGUGGGCUUAAAUCCAGCCAUGGGCACAACUUAGCCAAAAUCUAAGAUCACAUACCUUGUCGGAUAAUUUAUCCUCUUCCAGGUGCAGCUACAGUGAUUAUGACUGAUAUUAAACUUUAUUCUUAACUUUAAGAAAUGCU
RNAcentral lists this long non-coding RNA (895 nucleotides) under Mustela putorius furo (domestic ferret). RNAcentral's name for it is "lncRNA (ENSMPUG00000026182.1)". Lineage: Eukaryota; Metazoa; Chordata; Mammalia; Carnivora; Mustelidae. The record is from RNAcentral.